RNAcentral lists this ribosomal RNA (460 nucleotides) under uncultured bacterium. RNAcentral's name for it is "partial 16S ribosomal RNA". It matches the Rfam family "Bacterial small subunit ribosomal RNA", at positions 338 to 795 of the family's 1533-position model. The record is from RNAcentral.
CCUACGGGAGGCAGCAGUGAGGAAUAUUGGUCAAUGGGCGGGAGCCUGAACCAGCCAAGUCGCGUGAGGGAAGACGGUCCUACGGAUUGUAAACCUCUUUUGCCGGGGAGCAACGGGGUCCUUGCGAGGGCCCAAUGAGAGUACCCGGAGAAAAAGCAUCGGCUAACUCGGUGCCAGCAGCCGCGGUAAUACGGAGGAUGCGAGCGUUAUCCGGAUUUAUUGGGUUGAAGGGGUGCGUAGGCGGGCUGUUAGGUCAGCGGUAAAAUGUCGGGGCUCAACCCCGGCCUGCCGUUGAAACUGGCGUCCUCGAGUGGGCGAGAAGUAUGCGGAAUGCGUGGUGUAGCGGUGAAAUGCAUAGAUAUCACGCAGAACUCCGAUUGCGAAGGCAGCAUACCGGCGCCCUACUGACGCUGAGGCACGAAAGCGUGGGUAUCGAACAGGAUUAGAUACCCUAGUAGUC